Molecule: long non-coding RNA, 454 nt
Filed under: Brassica napus (rape)
Lineage: Eukaryota; Viridiplantae; Streptophyta; Magnoliopsida; Brassicales; Brassicaceae
Description: long non-coding RNA (BNAP_LNC009039)
Source: RNAcentral
AAACAUCAAUUCUAAACCCUAAAUCAUCAACUUUAAACCCUAAACCAUCAAACAUCAACUCUAAUUCCUAAACCUUAAAACAUCAAGUCUAAACCCUAAACCCUAAAACUAAACUUGAAACAUCAAUUUUAUCCCCUAAACCUUAAAUCUAAACUUAAAACAUCAACUCUAAACUCUAAACCUUCAACUCUAAACCUUAAAACAUCAACGCUAAACCCUAAACCCUGAAACAUCAACUCUAAACCCUAAACCCUAAACUUUCAAAUCUAAAUCCUAAAACAUCAACUCUAAACCCUAAACCCUAAACUUUCAAAUCUUAACCCUAAAACAUCAACUCUAAACCCUAAACGUAUACCUUAAACCCUAUAUUUUUCUGAAAUUCGAACACUAAACCCUAACACUGUAAACCUUCAAAUCUAUACCCUAAAACAUCAACUCUAAACCCUAAACGUAA